AUACGGAGGGGACAAGCGUUAUUCGGAUUUAUUGGGCGUAAAGGGCGCGUAGGCGGCUUGCUAAGUCAAAGGUGAAAUCCCUCGGCUCAACCGAGGAACUGCCUUUGAAACUGUCAGGCUAGAGUCCGGGAGAGGGUAGCGGAAUUCCCAGUGUAGCGGUGAAAUGCGUAGAUAUUGGGAGGAACACCAGUGGCGAAGGCGGCUACCUGGACCGGUACUGACGCUGAGGUGCGAAAGCGUGGGGAGCAAACAGGAUUAGAUACCCGAGUAGUCC
RNAcentral lists this ribosomal RNA (274 nucleotides) under uncultured bacterium. Its description in RNAcentral is "partial 16S ribosomal RNA". It matches the Rfam family "Bacterial small subunit ribosomal RNA", at positions 523 to 796 of the family's 1533-position model. The record is from RNAcentral.